AUUGAACGCUGGCGGCAGGCCUAACACAUGCAAGUCGAACGGUAACAGGAAGAAGCUUGCUUCUUUGCUGACGAGUGGCGGACGGGUGAGCAAUGUCUGGGAAACUGCCUGAUGGAGGGGGAUACCUACUGGAAACGGUAGCUACUACUGCUUAACGUCGCAAGACCAAAGUGGGGGACCUUCGGGCCUCUUGCCAUCGGAUGUGCCCAGAUGGGAUUAGCUAGUAGGUGGGGUAACGGCUCACCUAGGUGACGAUCACCAGCUGGUCUGAGAGGAUGACCAGCCACACUGGAACUGAGACACGGUCCAGACUCCUACGGGAGGCAGCAGUGGGGAAUAUUGCACAAUGGGCGCAAGCCUGAUGCAGCCAUGCCGCGUGUAUGAAGAAGGCCUUCGGGUUGUAAAGUACUUUCAGCGGGGAGGAAGGGAGUAAAGUUAAUACCUUUGCUCAUUGACGUUACCCGCAGAAGAAGCACCGGCUAACUCCGUG
RNAcentral lists this ribosomal RNA (490 nucleotides) under uncultured bacterium. RNAcentral describes it as "partial 16S ribosomal RNA". It matches the Rfam family "Bacterial small subunit ribosomal RNA", at positions 30 to 507 of the family's 1533-position model. The record is from RNAcentral.